UACGGAGGGUGCAAGCAUUAAUCGGAUUUAUUGGGCGUAAAGGGCGCGUAGGCGGACUUAUAAGUCAGAUGUGAAAUCCCGGGGCUCAACCCCGGAACAGCAUUUGAAACUGUAAGUCUUGAGGUUGGGCGGAGAAAAUGGAAUUCCACAAGUAGCGGUGAAAUGCGUAGAUAUGUGGAAGAACACCAGUGGCGAAGGCGGUUUUCUAGCUUAAUCCUGACGCUGAGGCGCGAAAGCAAGGGGAUCAAACAGG
Molecule: ribosomal RNA, 253 nt
Filed under: uncultured prokaryote
Description: partial 16S ribosomal RNA
Rfam family: Bacterial small subunit ribosomal RNA
Source: RNAcentral